UGAGGUGCUGUGUGUAACUGAUA
This 23-nucleotide non-coding RNA is filed under the name Arabidopsis thaliana (thale cress). Lineage: Eukaryota; Viridiplantae; Streptophyta; Magnoliopsida; Brassicales; Brassicaceae. The record is from RNAcentral.